Molecule: long non-coding RNA, 22668 nt
Filed under: Podarcis lilfordi (Lilford's wall lizard)
Lineage: Eukaryota; Metazoa; Chordata; Lepidosauria; Squamata; Lacertidae
Source: RNAcentral
CUUCUGGUUUUUUUUAAAAAAAAAUCUUAAAUCUUCAUCUAUGUUUACAUUUCAUUUUCAGCAAUGAGGACUAGUUUUUACCCCUAGCUGACACAGGUCAGUUUGAAUGACAGCAGACUCACAAACACAAUCAUUUAUGUAUCUAUGUAGGAGUAAGUCCCAUUGACUUUAGUGGGGCUCAUUCUAGCCUCAGUGCAUCAGACAUGAAGGCCAAAUGGAAAUGAUUCUCUGAAAUUUCAUAAAGCCAAUUUCAGCUCUGUAAAGUCAAGUAUUUCAUGAAGAUGGGAGAAAACUGACAAGAGACAAUCUAUUUGCACUAUAGUAGGUCACCGAUCUUUCGGGGUCAAUGGGUAUAUUCAAAAUUUUAAAAAGUGUCAUGAGUACCAGUUACAAAAUGGCUGCCAUGGGGGUGUAUGACACAAAAUGGCUGCCACAUCUAGAAGAGCAGAGAGAGCCACAAAAUGGUGCAGGUAUUCUACCCCUACAUUGUCCCACCAUCAAUCCCGCAUCAAUGGGAAAAUGACAUCUAUUUCUGCUCACAGAAAGAAGUUUUUUGUUUUGUUUUGUUUUGCUAUGUCUCAAAAAGACGAAAUUCAGCAAGGAAGCAAAGCCCAUGCCUAAUAAUGGCAUGUGUUUAUUAAUUUAUUAUUUAGACCAGAGUAAGUGGCAGCAAAAAGCAAUGCACUCUAGAAAAUUAUCUGACCUGAUUUUUCAUAAACUAAUCUCCCCCUAUAUUUGAAGGACACCUUGGCUGUCAUUCAGGGCUUUGCGUGCCAAAAAAAAAAGAAGAGCUGAAUCAGCAGGAGAUUCUGAACAGAAAAAUUAGUUUGUCCGUGUUUUCAAAAACAAAAACAAAAAAAACCCAACAAACAGACAAUUUACACAGUUUGCAGUAACAGCAGUCGCUUGCCUGGAUGGCAAUUAAACUGGCUUGUUCAAUUGGCAUUUUUAAAAAGGCAGAUGACAAUGUUUUGUAUGUUGCAAACACUCAAGCUUCACUGGGAAGGCUCUCAGAGACGGACAAAGAUGGCCCUUUUGUGUUUUGAGCUAAAUGCCAUCAAAGGGCCAGUCGCCACAGUGGGUCUCUGCAUUCAGACCACUCUUUCGGGACAAGCCAUGUGUUACCUAUCGCAGGCUUUCUCCAGCAGAGUGCUUUGAAGAUUAUUAUUCAUUACUUUUGUGUCUAAGGAGCUGAGUGUAGCUUACAUAGCGGCAUAUGACAAAUAACCCAUUUUCUCCUCUCAAAAGCUGCGCGUGAGGUAACUUGGGAUAAGAGAUGCCAGCAACCAAAGCCCAUGCAGUAAAAAAAAAAAAAAUCAUGCCCGUAUACCAAUCUGAAUGAAGCCUCUCCUGGCAAUGGGAGACCUGGAAGCGGACGGUUCGAGUCCCCAUUGCUGCAAGGAGCUCGGUGGGUGAGCCUCAGGCCUGUCCCUUGGCCUAAUUUACCUCAUGGCGUUGUUGUGAGGAAAAAAUGGGAAGGAGGAGAACUACAUGCACCAUCCUUCAUGGGAUGACCCCAGAUUCUAGCAUUAGGAGAGAAAAGGGAGAAAAAAACUGUUCGCACACCACGGGGAUUUUUUCGCCCCCCUAAACUAAAAAGCCCUAAUUUGGUGGCCGUCGCCACAUCUUGUGAUAGCGAAUGCCAUGGUUUAACCAUGUGCUGAACCUUUGUGGAGCGAGGUGAAAUAUAGCUAUACUAAAAGGAUGAGGGGGAAAAGCAUAACUGUUCACCAACAAUAUGUAAUCACAUGAUUAUGCUAAUGAUGUCAUCUGUGACAUCCAUCAGACUUCAGCAAAGAAAAACAUGCCUUGCAUUCUAGAUAGCGUAAUUCAUUGCCUCAUGACUUAAAUGUAGGAUACCCUGAUCUAGACAUCUGGGGUGAUCCACAGCCCUCUUUUUAAAUGCAGCUCAAAUUACUAUAAUUUUCUACCUGUCUCCUGCCAUGCUCCUAAAUAUACUGGAUUUUUUCCACAGUACUUUAAUGAGUAGCUUAAUCAGAGAGGUAUAAUUUACUAAGAUUCAGUGGCGCUCUCUGCAUACACAUGAAAAACUUUUUUUAGUGUUGCAUUUAUUUCUCUUCAUAUUUACCUGUUAGCCUGGGUUGUGUUUUUGUUUUUGUUUUGUAUAAAAAAGGGCUGCAUUUCCCACCCAUCAUAAUGCAGCCCAUUACAUUUCAGUGUAGUUGUAUCAGCUUGCCCUCUGAACCACCAUUCCUCAUAAUACCUGGAUGUUUUUAGGGAAUAAACAUCAUUUAAGUGUUUGGCAUUCCAGACUUACCCUGCAUUCCCCAAAAAGGUUUUGAACUCAAAGUGCACUUGCCAUUAAGAUCCAAAUAUCAAAAAAAAACCCAGCUCCCUUCCAAAAAUGUCUUGUAUUCAUGGAUUAUUAUUAUUUUCUCAGAAGAUGGGAACUGAGUUGUGUAUUUUGUAUGCAUACGUGGCUCUUAGGGUACAGAACAUUGCUGAAGAUAAGCCAUUUUGGGUCUGGUUGGUACAUCCAUGGCGGAUUAGCCAGGGAGUUGCAUACAUACCGCCUUGGGUUUCAUGAAGGAGAAAAUUAAAUAUUUAGUUUUGUGUGCUUUUUCUUUAAAAGUCAAUUUUAGGUUUCACUGUUGUGUGGGUGUGGCUGUUUUAAAGACCUAGACCCAAGGAAAAGGACUGUAAAACCAUUCUGGGAAUUGUAGUUAUGUGAGAGGAAUAGGGGUCUCCUAAAAAAUUGAAGCACCCUUCAUGAACUACACUUUCCAGGAUUCCUUGGGGGAAGUCAUAGCUGUUUAAAGUUGCAUGAUACUGCUUUAAAAGUACAGUCCAGAUGGGGCCUAUGUUUCUGUUAGUGCUAGUUUUUGUUUGCGUUUGCUUAUUUCUUUAAGAUCCAGACUCAAUGAAAUUUUCAGUGCUCCCUUGACGUCCACAUACACAGACUAUGUGGAUCCAGGGCUCACAAACUCUAAAAAUAUGGAUAUAAACUCUGCAGCAUCUAUGGAGUUCAAAUAAUUUUGCAAAAAGAUAGAACCUAGGGGUGCUAUUUUCAUGCAUUUCAAGCCCUCGAGUAGCCACAUCCUGUUUGUGUGGAAGAGAAAACAAAAGUUAAACUUUCAGUAACCUUGGAGUGUCGGGGUGGGGGAAUAAGAGUUUAGCGUUUGGAAUAAUAGUCAUCCCUUAAAUUCAUCCAUGGCAACUGACCACAGGUUUAUUCACUGUUUUGGGAAAGUGUCUGCUUUACCAGCAAACGUGCACAUAUAUACCAACCCUUUACAGUAGAUUUUGAGGUUCCAUUGGACAGUGACUUAGUGACUUAGUUGGAUUAACGGAUAGGGAAGAAAUUUGGCUUGGUUGGGAUUUUAAAGCAAAACUACCUAAUCUGUACUUUCCCAAGCAAUAUGCGAACCGGAGUACAGCAAUCCUUUGAAUUUGCUCUUCUCUGAAUUUUGUGAUACAGUUGUCCGGUCAAAUAAUGUGUACAAAAUGAGUAUGUAUGUAUCAAAAUAAUUGUAUAUUGAUUAGAAUAGCAUAUAAAAUGCAUUAUAACAGGGGAGGUAGCUUGCAAAGAUGCAUAGAACAGAUAAAUUUGUGUACCAAAAUGUGUCUAUUAUGAGAAAUCUGCACUAAAAUACGAAUGAAUUUCCAUGAGGAAUUUUACAAAACAAAAAUUGCAAACUGAUGCAGGAAUGUGGGGAACUGAACUUAAGACUAGAGAAACGAGAAACUGAGAGAGAAGCUGACAUUGAGAGAUUUGUCCAUCCUCGGUGGGAUUCAAGCCUGAGUCACGAAGCAGCUUCCCAGCAUCCUCACAGAAAAUGCCCAAAAGAAUGGUCUCCUGUGAACCAUAUCAUGUCCCCAGAAAAUGCUGAGGAAAAAUAAAAGCCACAUCCUUUGUGUGCUUUGUGGGACUAAGUGGUAGGUAGUGGGGGCUCAAUAUGCAUGAGUCUGGAUUUUGACCUCUCCCUAGCCUCAGGAGGAACUAUAUAUAUAUAUAUAUAUAUAUAUAUAUAUAUAUAUAUAUAUCAUUAGGGGCAAGAGCAUUGAAACCUCUUCCCAGCAAAUAAAUUCUUCCUCCAUCUUCUACACUGAAGGCUACACAACUUUGCUUUAUUCCUUCUGAGGAUGCAAAGUUUUUAUGUUUGACGCAUCAGUGUUUUUAAGAGAACAUUCCAAACCACUUCUUCUUCUUUUUUACAACCACUGAUAAUAAUCACCACUAAGCUGGUCUCCAGAGAGGAGAAGCCUUUAUGUCAUAACUUUGCAGGAAAGGCUGACACUGCUCACAAUAUUUAACCUUGCUGGGGCAUAUUUGUUUAGCCUGUUGUACAAUUGCGCUGUCUGUUACCCUUCCUAGACUUUGGUUGGCCAUUAACAGCAUGUCUAUUAUUAACCCACUCCAUCCUGUGUUGCUUUGAUAAUUAAACUACGUUUCCUUACGCCUCCCCACUGUGGAGUCGUAACUCAAACAUUGGGGUACCAUAGACAUCUAUCUCUAUGGUAGAAACCUAAGCUAGGAACAUAGGAACCUAUCUUAAACCAUAAGUCCACCUAGCUCAGCACAGACCUCAGUGACUGGCAGUAGUUCUUCAGGGCUGCAGACAGGGUUCUCUCCCUGCCCAAUGACUGACCUACCACUGAGCUAUGUCUCUUCCCCCAAAUUAACCUGCUUCAGUCCAACUAAAGUCUGUCCAAACUGCCAGUUGACUAUGACCCGAAACAGGACCCAAAUAGUGCCUCCCCUGCCUGAAAGAGCUCCCCAAUGGCAAAUGCAUUCCCCUAAGGCAGUGGGUCACGGGCUUAACUAAGUCCACCACCAGGCAUCCCCAUGCAAGGCUGUUUCAGCCUAAGGCCAACAAAAUAUUGCAGUGACUCCAUGAAGCAGGUCUUAUCACCUUGCUGCAGGGCAGGUCUGGUCUUGCUAACUGUUGCAGGAAUUUACAGGCGCAAACAGAUGUGUGUGUGUGGGAUUUCUUAAUAAGAAAGUUACUGAAUAUGUUCAUGAUUGAUUAUAGGAGUUGGAACGAGCCACUGUGUAUUGAGAGAACAUUUGCUGCAGUUACUUUUAUAUAAGAACUAGUUUAUAGAGGAGGCUGUAGUACCUGACAUUGCAAGUAGAAGAUGCCAUUUGCAAAUGCCACCUUCUCUGAAAUGCUUCUCUGAAAGUUCUACCUUUUGUGGGAAUUAAAUUCUAGGUCCCAUUUAGCAGAGUAUGCAGAAGACAACCCUGGGUCACUUGACCCUUUAAUUAGUCCUCUUUUCCCCCUCCUAUAAAAACGACCCAAGACACCCUCUUUUAAGAUUUAAAGAACAUAAAACUUUUGCUUAGUGUACUUGCAUUUGCAGAUUAAAUAUACAGUGGUACCUUCUGGAUACGAAUGGGGUCCGUUCCGGAGCCCCGUUUGCAUCCUGAAGUAAACGUAAGAUGCAACUGCACAUCUGUGCAUGUGCGGGUCGCAUUUCGCCGCUUCCGUGCAUGAUCAUGACGUCAUUUUGAGCGUCUUUGCAUGCACGAGUGGUGAAACCUGGAAGUAACGCGCUCCGUUACUUCCAGGUCGCCACAGAGUGCAACCCGAAAAUACUUAACUUGAAGCUACUUCAACCCAAGGUAUGACUGUAGAGUUAUUCAGCUCUCGCAAUUAACCCUUUACAUAUGAAUUUUUGCUCUGUGUUGGUUUUAUAUUUUAUUGCCCAUCAACAGCCAGCAUCUGUUCAGCAGAAUGUGUAGGCACACAAGUCACACUCCUCCACUAUGGUGAGACGUGUUGUGUUUCUGUUUUAAUUAUAGGAGCUAUUUCCAAACUUGUGUCUAUAUGUGUAAAUUAGCAUAUGCAAAUCUAUUGUCCCUUUUUGUACUGAUGCGCUUCCUCAUUUUUUCGUGCUGCAUCUCUGACCACCCUACAGUCCAUUAUACCUCCACAUUCUUACUUGUCUCUCAGCCGAACUUCAGUGUGGUCAGUGUGAUUAAAGAACCGCACAACCCCCGUGCACACCAGCCUAAAUUCCAUAGAGGAUUUAAGGCUGAUUUGUGGCUAAGGAAGCAAACACAGAUUUUUAGUGAUAUCGAAUAAAUAACUAGGUCUGCUUUCCUAGAUCUCAUCCCAAGGGAGUUCCAGUGCCAUACCUGCAACUAUCAAAAAUGCACCUUUCUCUCCUGGAGCUCAGAAGUUAUCACGAACCAUGAUGAAAGGUGUUUCCAUGUGUGGAAAAACCUUUCUAUCCCCGGCAGAAACACCAAUAUGAAAAAGGAGCAGAAUAUUUGCCCUGAUUCAAAAGGUUUUGUAGGGCUCAUUCACAGCAUUUUUUAAUGAGAUUUUAAAUGUCUCCUUAAAAUGUUAACAUGGGUUCAUAUGAAGCUGUUCUGAACAGUUCUUACAUCAAAAGGCGAUGCUAUUAAGCUUCAGUUAUGUCAUGGGUCAAGGAGUAGGCCAUAGGUGUCAGCUAGAUUAAAGGACUCUGGAAUUUAGUUGAUGCUCAGCUGAGAAAGAGCACGGAUCGGACAAAGAAGCAGCUUAUCAAUAAAAAGCAAAAGAAAGCAACCAAUAGGAGACAGAUUGUUCAAAAGGAGGGAUUGGCAGCUUUUCCUGUAUAAACAGAAAUCAUUUUGUUGGCUUCCUCUACACAUAAAUUCUGGAUCUGACCUUGCAAACUCUACACAGUUUGAGUAACAUGUUCCACUGAAAACUGCCUCCUCCUCCCUUUUGUCUCUUCAUGAGCUCACUAAUGGAAGCUCCACUCCCAGGGCUAAUGGCAACCAAGGGCCCCACAAUUUUCUUCAGGAGUGUAACUGGGAAAGACACCAAGUGGCCAUGGUCCAGAUUCUUAUCUGAGGCCCCACAAGCUAUUAUUAAGGGGGUGGAAAUAGACACAUGACCAGAUUCGCACAUUUAACAGCACAGCUAGUUUGGGAAUAGGCUGCUGAUUGUAUCCCCCAUGCAGGGAAUCUACACAAUCAUGUAACAGAACAUACUUCCUAGUUACAGAAACCUAGGCACUCAACAAAGGGUCUGAGGACUCCAGCAAUAACAUUCUUUCCAGACUGGAUCACCUCAGCAUGCAAGUAAUAAUAAAAGAACUUGAGUUAGAAUGCUCCCAGGGAUUGGGUAGUGUGUGUGUGUGUGUAAAGAACUAAGUCUGGGCAAUGUUUCGAGAGGAAAUCUCUGGAGAAUGGGAUGUCAGGCUAAAUGUGUCAAAAGAGUCGAAGAGAAGAGGAAAGGACAGUUGGGUCUGUAGUGGGAAUUUUCUCAAUUGACGUUUGGAAGAGGAAGAGGGAUGACGGCGAAUAGCUAGGUGGAAAUGGGUUAGGGAGAUGACUAGUUCUGGUUGCGUUCAUCCCAAACUUCAGUUUACUGUGAAUGUGGUUUCAACCCUCUGCUUUGCUGUUAAUCCUGGGAAAUUCUUAGUGAAACAUCUGCUUAAAGGGUUUGAACACUUACCCAUGGUUUGGUCCCAACAAGACUGUGACAAAAACAUCUCAUACACACUGGGGGGGAAAGCAGGCCAGAAAGAAAGCCAAGCUGGCAAUUUCAUUCUUACUUGGGUUAUUCUUUGAGCUUGGUCCUAAAACUCUCAAUCAGUUAGUCAACAGAGCCAACAAAGGAAGGACAGAAGCUGAGAUGCAGAGCAUGCUGGUUGUAAUACGUUGCUGGACUUCAUCCAUACUUCCAGACCACAGGCUACAGCAAAGCUGAUGGCCCAAACCACAGUAAUGCAAGAGCAAUUUUCUUUAUAUGUUUGGGUGAAUCACCCACCUACCCAUCACACCUGACCUAUUUGCACAUAGUAUAUAAUUCUGCUAGCAGUUCCAGGACUGUGUCAGAUCUCUUUGUGGAACAUAGAUUUUUAUUUUCUCUUUGCUGUACCUCGGUGCAGUAAAACUGGGCAAUGAAUUGGAUUUUCUGUUGAGCACAAAAUAUGGCUUAAACAUCCAGUUCAGUGUUUAAAGUGCUAUGCUGGACUAGAGUACGCCAUACUUGAUCUAGAUGGCAUGCUCUCUUUGGCUUAGCCUCAUCAAAGAGAAUUGGGAUCUUUUCUCAUGAAGAGCAACAUCCUCAGCAUAUUAAAAUUAAUUCUGUCUGAAAUGAGUCCAAAGCAAAAGUACUUUAGGGCAUUCUGACAAAAAUAGUUGCCCUGAAACAACCUCAGAGAAAUCAGUGUUCUUCAGAAUUACACGUCAAUUGAUCUGUAGCCGCAAAGAAUUGAGAGUCCUCCAAUAAAACUCUUUUUUAAUUCAACGGCGCCUAUACUCUCACAAUCAGCUGAUGUUUAUCUAGUAUGCUCAAAAGCUCUUUCUAUUCUGAUGAUUAUCUCUGCUAGACAUUCUGCUAGUAUCCACUGCCAUACAUAUGACUGUGCAGUGUUAUCUACUCUGGGAACAGGGAUGGCACAACUGGAGACAGUUAGGAGUUGUGCCCAUGAGCAUUCUUCAUGUAAUGCACAUUUAUUCAAAUGCGUAACAUUACUUGGGCUCGUAUUCUUCCCAUAUCCAUUUUGAGACCCCUAAGUUGGCAUUAGUCAUGACCUGGCUGGCCACAUCAGGAUUCAGAAGCUAUGUAGCUUCCGGGAAAUGUGAUCACGAUUCCUUUGCUAUUUAAUAUAGCAAAGAAUAUCUGAUUAGGUAGGUAGAUAAUCCUGACUCCUGCUACUGCUUGUAUGAAAGGGGUGGGAGGCAUCACAGUAAUUGUUUCUGGAAGGAGGCAGGGGCCAGCUCCCACCUUACGCUUCCCAGAACAUGCUUUUUCUCUGGGUGGGUGGGUGUGUUGCAGUUCAGACCCACAAAGGAGAUCAACAGAAGACUCACGAUGAGUAAGGAACAUUCACCGCCUCCAGGACAGGCAGAUCUUCUGUCACCCUUGCCUGCUUCUGUAACAGAAGUUGAAAUUGCAUUGAUAUGAAUGAUGAAUGGUAUAUAAAUACAGCAAGUGUUGUUGUAGUUGUUGUUUUCCAAAAUGCCAUCCACAUAAAUUCUUUAAUACACUGUGAGGUUUGCAUAUUCAAGACCCUAGUUGCAAACUUUCUCAAAUCUGCCAGUACAGAUUGACAAAAUUUACUGUGUUCCCAGCACUGCCUUAUAACCCAAGGUUUCAUAAAUAUGCAUGCCCAUCAGAUAAUCUGUGUCUUUUAUGAUGAAGUUCUUCCGUUUUGGGGUUUGCAAAAGUCUUAGAUCAUGUGACUCAUUCUGAAAUGACAUUUUUUUUAAAAAAAAGCUGGGGUGGAAAUUUGUAUGAGAAACGAUUUACCCAUUCUUAUUCUUCUUUCCGUAGGCAGUGUUUUGAUGGGCUAUAUUUAACCUCUACCAAGAACUUCAUAAUAUUGCAAAAGAUGGGACUUGUGGAAUUAAAGGCUGUGCUUGGUAUUGCAAAUACAGUUGUUGCAGUUAUAGCACCUAUUGGUCCUCCAGAGGCAGCCAUUUUGUAGCCUCCAUAUCCCUGGGUAGGAUAAACAUUUACUGCAAUUCCUCCAACUGGCUUUCUGUGGUUAAAAGGUUUACUAAAGCCUACUCUGGCCAUCCCUUGCUUUACACAAAAGAUGGUGCUAUGGCAGAUUGUUUCAGUGAACCCCUUGGGCUGCAACUAAAAACAGCUCUGGGUUGCAGCCAGGAUGGUAAGCACAGCUCACGUUUCGCAUAAUUCUGGAACUUUUAACUUUACCGCCAUUUCUCACUGCAUGAAACUGCUGCUGUGCUUAUGGCUAGGAAUUGGUGAGUAUGCCAAUUUCAGUUUCUCUCAGUAUCUUGUUUUUCCAAUCUUAAAUUCUGUUCUCCACAUUUCCACAGCAGCAAGCGAUUAAAAAAAAAAGUCUGCAUUUUAUCAGCAUUUUAGUGUGAAUUUCUCUUCAUAUACACAUUUUGCAUGCGAUUUUGAUUAAUAUACACAUUUUUGCAAUUUCCCCUAAUAUAAUGCAUUUCUUUAUGUUAGUUUCAGAAAUAUAUGCAUUUGUAUCAACACUUUGUCCUAGUACGUGCAUUUUUGUACAUGUGAGAAUGGCACUGCAAAUUCUGAAGAAUGAAUUUUGAAGGACGGCUGUGUUUUAGUUCAUACCUUGUUUCAGAAAUUGCAAAUUAUGUUGUUCAACUUGAAAUGUAAACCAGAUCAAAUUUUUCCACUACCCCUAUAAAUGUCAUAAUGUCCUUGGCUUGCCUGCUGUAGCUGAUGACUGGCAGGAGCUGCCAGCUUGGUGAUGAGCCACCAGGUCUACAGGCUGCAGCAUCUCCAUGGGCAGGGAAGAAGUCCAAGUACUAGUUGUCUUCCCUGUCUCUGCCUUCUGCUGAUUCCUGGCUUUAUCUCCUGGCUCAGGCCUCUGGCAUGAUUCCCGGUUCCAACUUGACAGCUACCUCUGACUCACUGAUUUUAUGCAAUGGUGGAAGCACUCUUGAGUUGAGGAUUGUAUGGUCUGCCGAGUCCUCUGGAGUUGACCCUGAGAGAAGCCCAACCAAAGAAUUGGGUGGUGGUAUCAAGGCACUUCAUUCUAUCCCAUUAGUACAAUCCCUCUGUGUGUCUAAUUGGCAGGUUGGGCAGAGCUCUCCUAAACAGCAGCUAUGUUGAGCAGAGCAUUCAUAAAACUAGUAAGGGCCUUGUCCUUGUGAGCAGCAGAUCUUGGCUGCUCAUAAUCUCAUGGAUCUUGCCACUUUAUUUCAUUUCUUAUGAAUACAAUAAUUUACAUCACAGUCCUAGUUUCCAGAAACUGAAGCUCAGAUCAAGAGGAGUUAAAGACACACCAAGUAAGUGCUGGGAGGACAGACACGCUGUCAAAUAUCGCUUCUUCCCAGUUUAGUAGGCAGAACAUCUUGCCACUCAAUGUGGCUAUGGGGGAAGAUGGAAUUGUCAUUAUCAAUGCCGUCUGGUGGUCACUAUUAAUAUUUUGCAUGACCCAAUGCAAGCCAGAAAGUGGUUGUUGAACUGCAUGGCAUUGAUUCAGAGAGAUCAAAGUAUUCCCCCUAAUGCCCCAAGGGGUAGUUGUACUUUUAAGAAGCACCCAGGGAGAACAGCUCUUUUUGAACUAAGCAGUAGGCAAAAACAUGCAACUUGUGAUCUGCUCUCAUAGGGACAAAUGAGUGGGAAAGUGACUAGCCUUUCCCUGCAAUUAAAUUGUCUCAUAACCUAAUCAUGAUCACAACUGGGCUGGUAACUAAUGGGUUGCUGUUUCUCUGAACUGGACUGUGCCCACAACUGAGCGUUGCCACAGAGAAACUCUCGGAAGAAUGCUUACUCUAAGCAUCUGGUUUUCUGAAUAAAAGGGACGCUGUUGGCAUUGUCUUGAGGUCAUGACAAACUGGCACUGCAUCGUAAACAGAUACUUUGUCCCUGCCUCACCCCUUCCCUCCUCCACAUUUCCUGAAUGGAUCACCCAGGGGGGGUUUGGUAGCAGAGUCUGGAGGGGAAGUCUUAUUGCUAAGCAGAUUCUGCAGAAUACGUUUCCAAACUCUUUAGUAACUUAAGCUUUCUGUACUGAAAACAAUCUAUAGGAGAAGAAGGUGUCUUUUUUUAUCAGUAAGAACAGAAGUUAGGGGUUUGUUUGUUUUUUAAGUAAUUCAGGAUGUGUACUACUUUUAUAGAUCUCCUGAGGAUUUUAGCUGUUUGUUCAGAUGACAUAAAACAGAAGAGGAAAUAAAUGCAAAAGGUUUGCAGCAACGGAUCCUGAAAGAGAGAGAGAGAGAGAGAGAAGCUGAGGGCUGAACCAAACCAGCACUGGCAAUGCUCAGAAAAUAGGGCCUUCUAUUAGCUUUAUACAAACAAAACAAAAAAAAUUCAGAUUCUCCAGUUAUCAUCAGAGAUAUUGUUAAGAUGUUUGCUGAGAAGCAAGGCUCACUCAGAGGACAAAAUCAAUACAUAAAAUGUUUGAAUGCAUUUCACAAAUCUGUUGUUUAAAAUGUUAAAAGCAGUUGCGGGGAUGCAGUGGGAAACUGAUCAAGACCGCACCACCAAUGGGAGGUUUUUUUUUAACCCUUUCUCCUCUGCCACAGUCUCAGUGAACAUCUCCCCAUCCAAAAAGCUUCUAUUGAGCCCAGACAGAAAGCUUCUAUUCAUUUUAAUUUUAUUAUAUGUAAGUUAUUUCAUUAUUUAUUGGCUUUAAAUUGUAAAAUGUGGUAGUAGAUAAAUUCCCUACCCUACCCUCCCUGCUAGUGGAUACUGAUGCCACCUUUCUUGCUUGCUUGCUUGCUUGCUUGCUUUCUUGCUUUCUUGCUUUCUUGCUUUCUUGCUUUCUUGCUUUCUUGCUUUCCAUCAAAUUAACUUAAGCAAUGCCAGAAGUGCCAACUUGGCCCCGUGACCAUGGGUGUCUGGGGCCGUGGGUGCCAUGCAGUGUGCAUAGCCCUAGCACCAAAAUUUGUGGGUGUCCGGCCCCUUCAUGGGGAAUUUUGUGGGUGCUCAGGCACCCAGGGCCCCAGGGAGUUGGCACCUAUGAGCAAUGCUGGGUCCAUUGCAUUUUAAUAUUCAUUCUCUCUCCAUAAUGAUACAUCUACAACAAAAGGUAUCCACCAACCAGACUCUAGCUGUUCUGCAACAAGCUUUAAACUCUAAUGAAGCUUAAACUUCAAAGGGAAACAAAAUCUAACAGCACGUCGAAAUGGCUAUUUAUAAAGAAAAUAACAAUCUCUGUCCCAUUUCCAAGGGACCUGGCUGACCUGCACACACUGAAAUCUCAAUGCUACUGAAUCAAGGCGAUUCCUGGUGGUACCUGCUGAAAGACUCAGGAGGCUGCUGCCAUAAGAAUAUCGAUCAUAGUAGUGUCUGUCAGUCAUCCUUUACUAUUGAAAUUAUUAUUGACCCAGAAACUUGCUAAUUCGCAUCCACACACCCCUGUGUAUUCCUAAUUGUGGUGAAAGUGCUCCUCAGCUGUCAGCAGAGAUUUGAUAAGGCAACAGGACACUUGUUUUCAUGGAACGCUUUGCUGCAAUUUUAAUGAAAUGAACCAAGAGCAUCCCAAAUAAGACGGGACAGGUGUCAGAUAUGCAAAGCAACACUGUACCUUUAUGAGAUGUGCAGAAAAGGGAAUCCCAGCAGGCACAGCCAUUCUUACCCCUGUGUGGCAAAAUCCACUCACUGGCAUUGACUUUAGGAUCCGUGUUGAUCUUUCAAUCUAGUCACUCUGUGUGGGGGUGAGCUUUUUCCUUGCCACAGGAAUAUGGUGAUUCCCAAUCCCAUACACCCUAGGGUACAAUCAAGCUGAAAGCUGCUAUCGUUCACCAGAGAGCCAAGCAGGUACUUGGACUGUCAAGUGGAAGACAGGGGAGGCUCGGCGCAUGGGAUUAGACCAUUAGUCUGCGAUGCUUUGCUAACCACUGUUUUGCGAAAGUAACACCACAGUUUCCAGCAGCCUUAAAUCCAGACUCUGACUCAUGAGGCCAUCACAGCAUUCGAGCAAUAAAUCAUCUAGUAAUUAUGCCAAUAACUGUUCCUGUUUGGUACACUAAGCAAAACAAAUCCUUUGUUACGUUUUCUCAGCACUGUGGUACAAAAAUAACUUGCGGUCUAUUCUUGACGUCUGUUCCUUUUCACAUGCAAUUCUUUCCAUCUUCUCUGAAUGCUACAACUGGGCAUCAUUUCUAGAGCACUUUCUGCUUGCCCUCACAACAACCUUCUGAUAAUGGGUCACUAUCUUCUCUCAUUUUACAGAUGGCAAACAGAAGUGGAGAGACAAAAUGACUUCAUCACGGUAACUCAAGAUGACAAAAGUAGCGCUUGAAUCCAAGUCCCAUAUCCACCUCUGCCACUCCAGCUCCUGGACCUUCCUGGAUCUAAAUGUGGGAUGCUUUUUAGAAAAAGCAAGGGGAUGGUGGAAGCAAAGAGGGCUUUCAUUCAUUGCCCUCCCGGCUGCUGAUUUGUCCCUCCAAGAAUAUCUGCACGGACUUCCUCUCCCUUAUUUCCUUCUUUGGCAUCCUAGCAGCAGGAAAGCCCACAAGAGGGACAUACAGAACAAUCCUAUAUAGGUUUCCUGAGUAGUAAACAGAAUUCAAAGGGCUGACUCCGGCAUCAAGGUGCAUAGGAUCGCAGCAUAUUAAUGCAUCCACAUGGUAGUUUUGGAAGGGGUUAAAAUACAAUAGUCUAUUAAACAUUAAAAGCUUCCCUAAACAGGGCUGCCUUCAGAUGUCUUCUAAAAGUCUGGUAGUUGUUUUUCUCUUUGACAUCUGGUGGGAGGGCGUUCCACAGGGUGGGUGCCACUACCGAGAAGGCCCUCUGCCUGGUUCCCUGUAACAUGGCUUCUUGCAGCGAGGGAACCACCAGAAGGCCCUCGGCGCUGGACCUCAGUGUCCUGGCAGAACGAUGGGGGUAGAGACGCUCCGUCAGGUAUACUGGACCGUGUGUUUGGAGGUACAUAUCCAACAUGCUGGGCAGGAUCAGUGUGGCAGUCUGUAUUAAAAAAUAUGAUCCCUUUACUUGUAAUAUGCAUGAAGAGUUCAAAGUGGCUUGCAUGUUUCCUAGGCAAUCACCCGUUUAGGCAGCUUACAAGGCCAGACUUGUCAUAGGAAGUGCCACGGACACAUUUACAUACAAAUAUGUCUCUUGUUCAAAAGCCAAUUCUUUUAUUUUACCAUUAAAGUGCUAAGCCAAGUACAUGAGAAGCUACUGUGUUCCAAGUUUUGAUGCAUCUUCCUCUGCAGAUUUAAGUUGCUUUGGGAACCCAUCUAAAAUGUGUUCACACAAAGUUUGCAGGUGUUUAUGUGACAUCCAUGACUGAUCAAGAGUCCAUUAUGAUUUGUUGGUGAGGACAUCAAAUGGCAUGAUGCCAAGCAACUGUCAUAUCCCACAUUUCCCAGAGCAUGUUCCUAUUACUUUCCUUACUGCAAAAAGUCUGGGGGGUUUUUUGGCAAGUAAAAUCAAACAAGAGCACCAAAUCCACUAUAAUUGUGCAAGAUGAAUUUGCCCAUUUUGUGAUUCAAUGCCACCCACGAAAUAGCAACAGUCUGGCAGCAGCCGUGAUUUCUCUGAGACCAAGGGAAUUUCCACUUCUGAAUAUUGCAAGCUAGAAGCUUCAUGCAAGGGAUUGGGGAGGGGGAAUUAUCCACAACACAAUCAAGAGGAAUGGGUGUCACAUCUGUACUAAAUCUGAUUUCUUCCUCAGUUGCUAAGCACCUUGGUUAUAGAUGCAGUUGUGUUUUUGCUUCUAACGUCACAUCUGGAGCCUGAGCCAGAGGUUUUGUUUCCUGAAUUCUAAUUACAUACUUUUUAAAGGUCACCCAGAAGGAAGGAUGGCAGAGGAGUCUUAACGUAACGUCAGGGAUGAAUUAGGGCACCAUGAAACCUGAAAGAUUGUCUCUGCAGUCCUAGACCAAAGAGGGGAGUUCUUCAAGGGUGCAGAAUUUCAGCCAGACUCUCUGAAGGCAUGUUGGGAAUACGAAGGGAGUGGUAGGAAAUAUUAUGACAGUGUAUUAAACCUUGGCUGCACACACAUCUGAAUGAGAAAAGCAAUGAAACGAGCAGCCAAAAACUCUGCAUCCCAGACUCAGAAAAACAGUUCAGUGAUUUAAAAACAUUCAGUUGCAUCUCAGGAAUGCCUGCAAAAAUGUACUCUGUUUCACAGCCCAGUACAAAGCUACCAACAACAUCCACUUCUCCCCAGGAUGAGAAGCAAACGGCUAUCAAAAUAUCAGGGUCAGCAGUUCCAUGGAUCAGGAUAACAAGUGGGAUGGUCACUGUUAGAAGGCUGUCAUGCUGCGCUGCCAUUGUCAUAAUUACACCAUGCUGGUGUCAAUCAUUGGGUGUGAAUCCUUCACCAAUGCCUUGGCAACUAACUAACUAACUAACUAACUAACUAACUAACUAAAUCCCAGGGUUACUAUCACUAUCUGAGUUUCUCACAGUGUCCUGGAACAACCCUACAUCAAGGGAUUGUAGGAAAAUAAAAUGGCAGCCAACCAAUAGUGUUCGAAGCUCUGCUGCUGGAUAAGCCAGCUAGAGCUCACCAACAAGGGGGUACAGGCUGCCACAAGACACUUCACUCAAAUAUGAAGCUGCACAGGGUCUUGAUUCCUCAGCAGCAGGUUUUAAGCAUCUUUCUGCCUAAACCAAAGCCACUGUUCAGCCAUUCAACACCAGAGGCACUUCCUCUUUCUGUACUCAACUCACAAGGACACGGCAGUAUAUUCUGUGAUGUAGGAGAUGUUCAGAGAUGGAGCGACUUGCAUAUUUGUCCGGCCACAGAUUCUAACUUUCCCAGAAGUUAUUCUCCCAACCAUACAGCAGACUAACAAUGGCUUGGCCUGGAAACAUGUCUGACAGGAUUCCCUGAGAACACGGACUGCUUCCUACAUUUUGAGAGAUCUCCAAAGUUAGUCAUAAUCAUUUCAACUAACUGGUCUUGCUACCAGAAGCCCAUGCAGUGCAACUAUGCUGAGGUUCUUGUGCCAGCGCUCUGUGCUUUUCAUUGGCUACCUGUUGUCAGCUACUCUACCUACCAAAAUUCACCUGCAUCCUUGCCAGACAAGCCCAGCUACUAGCUGGCCAAUAAUUAACUUCCUUUUCUUCUUGAGCAAAUUUUGAGGGGGUCUGGGGGGCUACAGAAAAAAGGAGGGGAACGUUCUGCUGCACAAGUGGAAGAUUGUUGCACUAGCAAAAGGGCAGCACUGGAGACAACCCAGUCUAAAUACAAUAAUUUGAAAUAAAAAUAAUAUAAUUUCACUACAAUAACACACGCACGCACGCACGCACACGCUCUCUCUCUCUCUCUCUCACACACACACAAAAUUAACAGUUCAUUUUACAUACAUCGAAAUUUAAGUGAGCAUAAAGGUCAACAAAGUAAAAUAAUUUCACACCUAAUCAUAGCCCCAAAGCUGACAACAUUAGGCAUUCAGCCCCUUUCAGUGUGGGUUUCACUGACAAUCACUCAUAAGUGAACAACAGGCAGAGUGUUAAUUCUGGCCUCUUUCUAAAACCUGAUGAGGUCUGGCUCCAAUUCAGCCUUGGUUUUACUCUUAUCCAUGCAAGUGCCAGGCAGGUAGGUAUUCAAGAUCAGGCAUCAGCCUGGCACCUAAAAGUACACACCUACCUGUAGAUACUUACCUAGGACUGGGAGUAAGCUCCACUACACUCACUGGGGUUUUCUUCUGAAUCAACAUGUGUAGGAUUCCUCUGAAUGCAUUCAUCAGUAACUAAUUGAAGCCAAUCUCUGGUACACAGACAACUUUUAAAAAAUGACCUGUGAUAUUUUGGCACCUCAGUCCUAAAGGUUCUAAUUGUCUUGUUACACAAGCAUAGAAUAAUGUUUUGCAUAUACCAUCAUAAGCUUCUCCUCCUGCCAAUUUUGUAGGAUUUAGGACUGGGUGAAAAUUCAGUUUUUCUAUAGUGAAUUAUUCAACUGCCUGAUAGUAUACAUCUGCAUGUGUUCUUACCUAGUGCAGAUUGUACAAUAUAAUUUACAUUCCGUUCUCGUUAUUCACAGGCAAAACACAUUGUUGGAAUGUAAUCUGCUCCCCAUGUAGUCUGCAAAGUGUAUAUUGCGGAAUAAUCAAAGGGUUUUAGGCUUGUCUUUCUCUAAGCACACUAAACAUCCCUCCAGCACCUUGUGACAUGAUCACAGUGGAUACCUUAUGAGAUGUAUAAUCUGAUACCAUCUGUAGUGUUGGCAUUUCCUCACAUUAGCCAGAGAAAUGAAUGCUGAUCGGCACAUGGAAUGGGGCUAGUCUUUCACCUUAACAGGGAAAACCAUACUGAUGAAAAUGUAUUUGUAUAUUUAGCUAGACCUUUGACAUAUUAGACAUUACAGGCAUGCCUGCAGAGAUUUCUGAGCAACAAAAUAAAUAAAAAUAAUAUUACACAUUCUUGUUUGUAAGGCGCGUCUCCACCCCCAUCAUUCUACCCGGACACUGAGGUCCAGCGCCAAGGGCCUUCUGGCGGUUCCCUCACUGUGAGAAGCCAAGUUACAGGGAACCAGGAAGAUGGCUUUCUUGGUGGUGGCGCCGGCCCUGUGGAACGCCCUCCCACCAGAUGUCAAAGAGAACAACUACUACCAAACUAUUAGAAGACAUCUGAAGGCAGCCCUGUUUAGGGAAGCUUUUAAUGUUUGAUGUAUUACUGUAUUUUAAUAUUUGGUUGGAAGCUGCCCAGAGUGGCUGGGGAAGCCCAGCCAGAUGGGCGGAGUAUAAAUAAAAAAUUGUUGUUGUUGUUUUAUUACACGACAAGGAACACAAUUCAAUGGGGUACUUCCCAACACAAGCCCCAAUAAAAUUGGGCAUAGAAGUACCAUGUUCUUGUGUAGCUCGCAUUCAGUUCAAUGGGCCGUGCCCUGGAGACGUUCCCAGUCGAGUGUGUCCAGUACUCAGGGCCAGCCCUACCAUUAGGCAGAAGGAGGCAGGUGCCUCAGGUGGCAGAUGCUGGAGGCCAGCAGUCUAUCAACCAUUCCCCAAACUAAUCUUUAAUGCUGAGGAUUUAUGAAUAAUAAAAGCCUGGAUAUUUCCCCAUGGAGUUAAAAAAGAAGACAGUACUGUGCAAAGAAAAGGCUCAAGAGUAGUCCUAACCACAGAAUGGGAAUCAGAGAAAAUGACAAUUUAAUACAGAGCUAACCUCACCCUUUGGGUGGAGAGCUUUUUUGUAAAGUCUCUCAUUUGCUGACAAUGAGAUAAUAAAUGCCUUCGAUCCUAAUGCUGUGGUUUCCUGCUAUUGACUCAUUUUACUGGGCUUCCAUGAUAGUCUCUCAGCUAUCCUAUGAUAACUUGCUAAAACCUGCUGGCUAAACCUCUUUUUGAAAGCAUCUCAUUGUGCCUGAAUCCUAGGCAACAGCAACCAGUUUUCUAUUGCAAAACGCAUGUAAAGGAUGAUAACUGAAAAGAGACCAGAUCCUCUGGAUGACAUGCUUAGGACACUAAAAGGGUAAGGUCCAAUUACACGUUCCAAAUCUGGAUUAAUCAGUAAAUUGAGGAUAAAAGUUCCAGGUUGUGUUUCUUCCUGUGGUUUUACCAGAAUUAUCCCAGUGAAGGAAAAGGGAUCAAUCCAGGCACUUUGAACAUUCCUUGAGGUCACCACUAAGCAGAUGUGGGGACUUUAGCAACAUUUCCAGCUUCUGGGUAAAUGAAAUACAGUAGCCUCUCCAGCUUCACAGCUGAAGCCCCUGUUCAUCAGCUUGGUUGCGGUGGGUGGACAAUGUUUGCAUGCUCCCUGCCACCACAUGAAACAAAACUCCCUGCACAUUCAAAAUUGGAGAGAAGGCUAGAAAUUUCUCCUUAGCAUGCAAUCUUUCCUCAGGACAAUUUUAGACAGAGGAGCAUGCAAACAAGUCAAUCCCAAGGCAGCUGUCUGAAGUAGUACACGUCAGUAUGAUGCCCACUAUGCUAGCCAGCUGAUCAUAUGAUGGGACGCGGGUGGCACUGUGGUCUAAACCACAGAGCCUAGGACUUGCCGAUCAGAAGGUCGGCAGUUCAAAUCCCCGUGACGGGGUGAGCUCCUGUCACUCAGUCCCUGCUCCUGCCAACCUAGCAGUUCGAAAGCACGUCAAAGUGCAAGUAGAUAAAUAGGUACCGUUCCAGCGGGAAGGUAAACAGCAUUUCCGUGUGCUGCUCUGGUUCGCCAGAAGCGGCUUAGACAUGCUGGCCACAUGACCCAGAAGCUGUACACCGGCUCCCUUGGCCAGUAAAGCGAGAUGAGCGCCGCAACCUCAGAGUUGUUCGCAACUGGACCUAACGGUCAGGGGUCCCUUUACCUUACCACUGCAGCGGGAAGGUAAACGGCAUUUCCGUGUGCUCUGGUUUCCGUUAUGGUGUUUCAUUACACCAGAAGCAGUUUACUCUUGCUGGCCACAUGACCCGGAAAGCUGUCUGCAGACAAACGCCAGCUCCCUCGGCCUGAAAGCGAGAUGAGCGCCACAACCCCAUAGUCGCCUUUGACUGGACUUAACCACCCAGGGGUCCUUUACCUUUUUACCUUUACUUUAUGAGCUCAGCUCUCAGAACUACCAAGAUUCUUAUCCUUGUGGAUUUCAAUUAUUGGGCAAAAUCCUCUGUUUGGUUAGAAUGCCACAGAGGGAAAAUACUAACCGUACCAUGAGAUUCAGAACAUUUGAAUGCCUACAAGCACAUUGCAUCCUUCUGCUGACUUUUUGAUUUUGUGACUGCUUCAUUCUCAGUCCAAGCCCUUAAAUCAGACCCUUCCUUUUGCUCGUGGUACAAAAUACUUUUUAACAUUCUACACGGUGCUCUCCAAUGGCUAAGCCAAGUAAAAAAAGAGCUUUGCUUCAUUUUAUAGACCCAUGCCAUCGCUUCAGCCAUUCUAAAUGCAGAGCUCGUGUCCGUCAGUCUUCCAGAUUUGGUUUCAACAGAGGAGUGGCAUCUGGUCAUCAACAUUAGUAGCCAGAGCAUUUGUAAUCUAGAUGAAAGUUUCCCGCCCCCUCGGCCGCUCUGAAUUCCUAGGUCAACUUUUAGAUUACGAAUGAAUAUAUUCCUCUCCUAGGCUGUGUACACAAAAAUGCAGCUAGGUUGUUCUUUUUCUCAACUCAGAUCAAAGCUGUUGUAGUUGUUGUUGUUGUUGUUGCUGUUGUUGUUGUUUAGUCAUUUAGUCGUGUCCGACUCCUCGUGGCCCCAUGGACCAGAGCACGCCAGGCACUCCUGUCUUCCACUGCCUCCCACAGUUUGGUCAAACUCACAUUGGUAGCUUCUGUAACAAUGUCCAACCAUCUCGUCCUCUGUCAUCCCUUUCUCCUUGUGCCCUCCAUCUUUCCCAACAUCAGGGUCUUUUCCAGGGAGUCUUCUCUUCUCAUGAGGUGGCCAAAGCAUUGGAGCCUCAGCUUCAGGACCUGUCCUUCCAGUGAGCACUCAGGGCUGAUUUCCUUCAGAAUGGAUCGGUUUGAUCUUCUUGCAGUCCAUGGGACUCUCAAGAGUCUCCUCCAGCACCAUAAUUCAAAAGCAUCAAUUCUUCGGCGAUCAGCUUUCAUUUAUGGUCCAGCUCUCACUUCCAUACAUCACUACUGGGAAAACCAUGGCUUUAACUAUACGGACCUUUGUCGGCAAUGUGGUGUCUCUGCUUUUUAAGAUGCUGUCUAGGUUUGUCAUUGCUUUUCUCCCAAGAAGCAGGCGUCUUUCUUUUAAUUUCAUGACUGCUGUCACCAUCUGCAGUGAUCAUGGAACCCAAGAAAGUAAAAUCUCUCACUGCCUCCAUUUCUUCCCCUUCUAUUUGCCAGGAGGUGAUGGGACCAGUGGCCAUGAUCUUAGGUUUUUUUAUGUUGAGCUUCAGACCAUAUUUUGCACUCUCCUCUUUCACAAAAGACUUUGAUUGCAGAUUCUAUUCUAACAUCCCAUUUUAAUUUGAUAUCCAUUCUUUCUCCUCGUGCCUUAACUACAUCAUAGGUUAAUUCCACCAACUACCUUUGAGAAGUUUAACUACAGCUUUAAUUUCGCCACAUCUUCCUAAGAGGAAUUGGAACCACUUUUAUUAUUACUUUGAAGCAUACCUCCGGUUGAAAUGUAAACAUUAAAACUUCUUGUUGCUGCUUUUAGAUGGGUCAGACAAAACCGUUGACUUGGGUUAGGAAUUUUCUUCAGCCAAGUAAGCUGUGAAAAUUCAUGAAAGGAACAGCUUCCUAUACGUUUGGAAGAGUCCCAAGCAGACCCGGUGUUUUCAAUAGGGCUUGUUCCCUAGUCAGUAUGUUUACGAUUGCAGCCAAAAGUUUAAGAUUACUGUAAGAUGCUGAUCCCAGCAUAUCCCCAAAAGCAGCCAAAGUAAGGCUGUAAACAACAAACUCCAGGCAGGCAUUCCCACUCAUCUGAUACAGCUGGUCUUGGCUGAACUGCUAAAAUAUUCUGUUACAGCCAGGUUGCUUAGAAAUGCCAGAAGCUGAACAUGUUCCUGGCAACUAGAAGGAGAAGAGGGAAAGGGAGGGUCAUGCCACACCUUCUGCUGGUAAUUUCAAGCAUGCCCAAAUUCUAGUUUAUGGCGGAUUUGGUAUGCCUAUAGGUAUUUGUUUAUGCAGCGUUUUCAGCAUGAUCAUUAAUAAUGAGUUAUUCAUGUAAGAGUAUUUUCUCCUAAUGUAUUAAUGCAAUUAAUAUUGUUAGCACUUAAGCUAUGGUAGCUAGCUACCAGCAAAAGUAAUUUAAUUCCAUAGCCUGAACUACUUUUCAUAAAUUGGUUGUAAUGAAACUCAUCACUGUUUAAUUCCCAUUACAGUCUUAUUGAUGUCUGACAUGCUCCCUCUUAAGCCCCAAUUUUCUUUUUCCAAUGAUGUACUGUUUCUCGAUUGAUUGUUUCGACGUUUCAUUAAUAUAUAAUGCCUCAAGUGAAGAAAUUGAAAUAAUGGUAAUCUGUUCCCACUGUGCUCUAAUGACAUUUCGCUGCAGUUAAGCUAGUCGGUUUUUUUAUUAUUAUUUAGAAGAAAACAUUGAUAUCUAAGUUUGGACAAUCUAAUGCAUUUGGGGGGAUCAUGCCCCAAAUAACAUUUCCAUUAAAAUCUCUUUGGGGUGGGCCCACAAAAGUGCAGGACGCACCGAAGAGCUUACUGUGAAUGUAUAUAAUGUUCGAACUUUUCAAAAUGCCCCAAAGACUAGGAUUAUAUUUAACAUUCUCUAAUUUACAUAUUUUUUAAAGUCUGUAAUACAUAUUUUAAUGGAAUUUCGAAAUAUCUCUCUCCAGACUGCUUCCAUCGAUCAUCCCCUCCUGAGACCUACUGUGACAAAUGUGACUGACAAGAAUGACAAUACGUUGUGAUAGAAUGAACAGCGAAACCCACCUCUAUGGUAAUCUUUUUCCCCCUUCCCUCUUUCAAAUGGUG